Molecule: ribosomal RNA, 254 nt
Filed under: uncultured bacterium
Lineage: Bacteria
Description: partial 16S ribosomal RNA
Rfam family: Bacterial small subunit ribosomal RNA
Source: RNAcentral
UACGAAGGGGGGCUAGCGUUGCUCGGAAUCAUUGGGCGUAAAGCGCGCGUAGGCGGCCCGGUAAGUCCGCUGUAAAAGUCAAAGGCUCAACCUUUGAAUGUCAGUGGAUACUGCCGGGCUAGAGUCCGGAAGAGGCGAGUGGAACUCCUGGUGUAGCGGUGGAAUGCGCAGAUAUCAGGAAGAACACCGACGGCGAAGGCAGCUCGCUGGGACGGUACUGACGCUGAGGCGCGAAAGCGUGGGGAGCGAACAGG